Molecule: ribosomal RNA, 496 nt
Filed under: uncultured bacterium
Lineage: Bacteria
Description: partial 16S ribosomal RNA
Rfam family: Bacterial small subunit ribosomal RNA
Source: RNAcentral
AUUGAACGCUGGCGGAAUGCUUUACACAUGCAAGUCGAACGGUAGAGGGGGCAACCCCUCGAGAGUGGCGAACGGGUGAGUAAUAUAUCGGAACGUGCCCAGUCGUGAGGGAUAACGUAGCGAAAGUUACGCUAAUACCGCAUACGAUCUAAGGAUGAAAGCGGGGGAUCGCAAGACCUCGCGCGAUUGGAGCGGCCGAUAUCAGAUUAGGUAGUUGGUGGGGUAAAGGCUCACCAAGCAAACGACCUGUAGCUGGUCUGAGAGGACGAACAGCCACACUGUAACUGAGACACGGUCCAGACUCCUACGGGAGGCAGCAGUGGGCAAUUUUGGACAAUGGACGCAAGUCUGAUCCAGCCAUUCCGCGUGCAGGAUGAAGGCCCUCGGGUUGUAAACUGCUUUUGUACGGAACGAAAAGGUCUCUCUUAAUACGGGGGACUCAUGACGGUACCGUAAGAAUAAGCACCGGCCAACUACGUGCCAGCCGCCGCGGUAA